GAUGAAGAACGCAGCGAAAUGCGAUAAGUAAUGUGAAUUGCAGAAUUCAGUGAAUCAUCGAAUCUUUGAACGCACAUUGCGCCCGCCAGUAUUCUGGCGGGCAUGCCUGUUCGAGCGUCAUUUCAACCAUCAAGCCCCAGGCUUGUGUUGGGGACCUGCGGCUGCCGCAGGCCCUGAAAAACAGUGGCGGGCUCGCUAGUCACACCGAGCGUAGUAGCAUACACAUCGCUUAGGACGUGCUGCGGGUUCCGGCCGUUAAACCCCCCACUAUAGCAAGGUUGACCUCGGAUCAGGUAGGAAGACCCGCUGAACUUAAGCAUAUCAAUAAGCGGAGGA
RNAcentral lists this unclassified non-coding RNA (336 nucleotides) under soil metagenome. RNAcentral's name for it is "partial contains 5.8S ribosomal RNA, internal transcribed spacer 2, and large subunit ribosomal RNA". The stretch from base 1 to 120 matches the Rfam family "5.8S ribosomal RNA", at positions 35 to 154 of the family's 154-position model. The record is from RNAcentral.